GGUUGGUCGUCUAGCAUAUAACAUAACAAGAGCCCUAAGGAUUUUUUGCUAGGUAUCAUUUAAUGCAAUGAACAACGCGACGGUAAACAACAAGAAAAGUUUGAGUUCUGAUAAGACAGUGAAAUACCAAAAACGUUCAAUCAACUCACAGCAAGAAAAAAGACUAGUUCUAGGGUAACCAAGGACAAUCACUGGUGCAUGGUGGGCCAUAUAUCUUGAUGCGGCUCAUCAAUCACAGAAAGGGUAAUUACUACAAAUGAUGGGCCCCGUUUUGUACGAACAUCUGACAGCGAUCAGUCAUCCGGUCGAGCCCGGAGAAUUUCAUUUCAUAUUCAACACGACUAUACAAAAUAAUGGGCCGUAUGACAAUGGAUGGAUACACGAAAAUCAUACUCUACAUAAUAUACAACAGCAUCAAGAAUAAUCCGAUUUCGAUGAGAUGGCACGGCAUAACAAAUAGCACAAAGAGAAAUUUCUUAACGCUCUUCCUUGGUGCGUUCAGCUACACCACCUACUAUCAGGCGUCUCACGAAGAAACCCAGAACUUCCUAGCUAUAGCCAAUGGAGAAGACUGUACUCCCGUCCCACAAAAUUUGAUUGAUCUUGACAUCAGCCAGUCUUUAGAAGUUCAAACAGUCAAACAACAAAAAUAAAACGUGAUGUCCUUGUUCGUCAAAAUACGAAUUUGUUAAACUCUAAGCAAAAAAAUAAUAAAAAUUUUAAUAAAUCA
This is a long non-coding RNA of Cimex lectularius (bed bug), 730 nucleotides long. RefSeq lists it as uncharacterized. The record is from RefSeq and is a predicted model, not a curated record. The transcript is spliced from 2 exons. NCBI's taxonomy places the organism in Eukaryota, Metazoa, Arthropoda, Insecta, Hemiptera, Cimicidae.